AACGCGAAGAACCUUACCUGGGCUCGAAAUGUAGAGGACGAUAUCAGAGAUGAUAUUUCUCGAAAGAGUCUCUAUAUAGGUGCUGCAUGGCUGUCGUCAGCUCGUGCCGUGAGGUGUUUGGUUAAGUCCAGCAACGAGCGCAACCCUUAUCGUUAGUUGCCAGCGCGUAAUGGCGGGAACUCUAACGAGACUGCCUGGGUUAACCAGGAGGAAGGUGAGGAUGACGUCAAGUCCGCAUGGCCUUUAUGUCCAGGGCUACACACGUGCUACAAUGGUCGGUACAGAAGGCAGCAAGACCGCAAGGUGGAGCAAAUCCCCAAAACCGAUCUCAGUUCAGAUUGUAGACUGCAACUCGUCUACAUGAAGUUGGAAUUGCUAGUAAUGGCGUGUCAGCAACAACGCCGUGAAUACGUUCCCGGGCCUUGUA
RNAcentral lists this ribosomal RNA (427 nucleotides) under uncultured Chlamydiae bacterium. RNAcentral's name for it is "bacterial SSU rRNA". It matches the Rfam family "Bacterial small subunit ribosomal RNA", at positions 958 to 1385 of the family's 1533-position model. Lineage: Bacteria; Pseudomonadati; Chlamydiota; Chlamydiia. The record is from RNAcentral.